GACCAUUAUCAAUAAAAGCACUUCCAUAAUAUUCGUUAGAAAAAUAUAUAGAACAACCAUUAUUCUUUAUAAUUAUUUUAAAAUUUUAGUCCAAUAAUAAUGGUACAAAAAUAAUAUUUCUAACAAUAUUUGAAAUGUAAUAAUAGAUUUUUAGUUCCAAAACUUUUUUCGAAGGCAACUUCAAAAACCUGGUUCCUAUGACUUCGGUUUGAAUGAACUCUCCACUU
RNAcentral lists this long non-coding RNA (227 nucleotides) under Elaeis guineensis (African oil palm). RNAcentral describes it as "long non-coding RNA (EGUI_LNC075911)". Lineage: Eukaryota; Viridiplantae; Streptophyta; Magnoliopsida; Arecales; Arecaceae. The record is from RNAcentral.